UUUUUUUGUACCGUUGUGUUGGCACCUUAGUUGGGACUUGAACUCGCCUCGUUUUAUCUGCAGUCAAGCCACCUGUUCCUGUUAUGCUAGCAAGAAGCGCUGAUACCGGAAGGGGUAUUUUAAUGACUAUCAGCCGAUAGUUCGACUAGACUUGACUCAGACUCUUUACUGACUAAAUAAACCAAUGUCUAUGGACAAUUACACACACUAUAUACAUGCUAAAAAUUUGAUGGAAUAAAGCCAUAUUUUAGUAUGUAUUUCCAUUCCCCCAUCAUAUAUGUUCCAUAUUGGGCUAGAUAUAUUAUUCUGAUCCUUCUUCGUGUUUUUAUUUUCAAUUUCAGUGGGGGUGCAUAUGGAACUCUUGCCAAUGCCCUAAAUUCAUUAUUUUCCCACCAUUUUGAGUCAGAUUUUUUAUGAAUAGAUCUGUUUAUGACAUUUCAGGAGAAAGAGAGGGAGAACCAAAACUACCUGUCCUGGCGUCACACUUGAGGAGAUGAAGUCGGUGAAUAUGACCUAGCCCGGGGGAGUUUCCAGAAGAAGGCCCACAACCGCUGGUCGCCAGGAGUGGAGGUCCUUUUUAAUUGUUGUUGCCCUACAUGUGCGUGCCAGGCGGCAUCAGGCAGUAGCCCUGGUAGAAGCACCAUUAUCAUCUUGAUACCAUCAUCCAGACUCUCAUCAGCUGUAUCAUUAUAGGUGGACUAAAAGAACAAUAUUCAUGCAGAUAUAAUGAUGCUGAAAUGGAAGGUGUCCUGAAUCUGCACCCAUUCAUCUGGUUUUGUAACACCCUUUAUAGCGCUAUUGGAACCGGCUCCCUACCAGUAUAACAUCGAACAGAUUGGAAGAAUAAAGGCCAAUGGGAAGUGUUUUUUAUACCCCUACUUGCCACACAGCAGUCUGUGGUUAAGCGCAAUCUAAACUGGACUAAUGUAAUGCUCUUAAUGCUUGAAUUAGGGUGAUCUGGACCGACUGCAGAUAGUGCAGAAUGCUGCAUCUAUUGUGCCAUUUGCCAUACGCCCACAUUCCUGAUCAUCUUUGCUCUGGACUUAGAACAACACUGUCACUGCCUGGUAAUUUGAAUUUUAAAAAAAUCUCAUGUGCUGACUAGGAUGGCAUCUCAAAGUGCUUUGUAUCUCACAAAAUAAUGUGUUGUGUAAAAGCGAACAGGCAUUGAGGUCAAGCAUAAGGGUAACCAUGUAUAUGGCCUUUGAUUACUUUUUAACAAAACUGAAAAAUUCAUCAAAGUAGGACAAGGGAUAAUAAAGUAAUGUAUGACAUUCUAAGCUCUGCAUUAUUUUAGUGAAAGACCUCUAAGCAUAUGCAAGUAGCAGGCUGAUGAUGUAAUGUCAUACAGACGUACAUGUACAUGUAUCCCCAACUUAUUAUUUUGUAUAUAAAAUUGUGUAUUUAAAUUGGAUUGUAAACUGUAUUGAUGUUACUUACCUGUAUUGAUUAUUGCUGGAAGUUCUUUUGCUACAUGGGAUUGGAAGACAUACUUAUUACACAUAUGAAAUAAUUAUUAUUUCAUCUGGUAACAGAACAAUAAAAAUGUGGGCAUGAUAUCAUAAACUUAUCUACUUGCAUGUGUUAAUGACCAAUUUUUGUGUUAUUUUUUGUAAUUAUUUUUUAUCAGAUUUUGAUAAAAUUUUCACUAUUUUGCAUGGUAAAAAUUACUUUAUUUAUCAUAGAUAUAAUUAUGAUGAUCCCGGAUCAUAUACAAGUACCCCUUUAAAGAUAAGUUACCAUUUGUAGUAACAAUCUUAAAAUGAGUUCGAACAGAAUCCAAUAGAAUUACCAGCAAAGUGUCUGUAUGUAACAGAUACGUGCCAAAUAGCUCGGGAAGAAAAUGCGUAAUUACUGAGAAAUGAGCAAAAUAAGCAUGUAAAUCUAUCAAAUGUCGGGUAUUUUUUCGAAUCAAUUAUGAUACACUGUCCUGCCUCACAUAUGUUUUUUCUGUGUUAGUGAUCAUCAGAAUUAUUGAUUUUAAGUUCAAAAUUCAUGAUUUUACAAAGAUACAAGUUUACAUUAAUGUACCAGAUCUAGAUUAUGUACAAUACUUUGACAAUUAACCUUAAUUUAAAAGACGUUCUCAAGAAAUAAUUGUUUGCUGCAACUACUCUCUUUUACCCCUUAGUGUUAGUAUAAUACAACCACAAACUUUUCAUAAGGGUUGAUGUACAUGUAUGAUUCUUUCACCAAAAUGCGAGCUUCCAUAAAUCCUGAAAUUAUUGCAACUCAGGUAUUUAUUUUUACAUAAAUAUAU
This is a long non-coding RNA of Lytechinus pictus (painted urchin), 2260 nucleotides long. RefSeq lists it as uncharacterized. Lineage: Eukaryota; Metazoa; Echinodermata; Echinoidea; Temnopleuroida; Toxopneustidae. The record is from RefSeq and is a predicted model, not a curated record. The transcript is spliced from 3 exons.